GCCCCAUUCUAUUAACCAAGAAUUUGCGAGUAUGUGGUGAUUGCCAUAUUCCUAUAAAACUCAUCUCUUGGUACAUAGAGAAAUAUUACAUUUAAGAGAUGCAAGUCGGUUUCAUCAUUUCCAGGAUGGAAUUCGCAAUUGUGUAGAUUUCUGGGAAGGACAAGGAUGCAUAUUUUACAGAAUGGUUGAUCUCAUGUAAGCAUGUUUCAACUUGUUGGCUAUGAAACAACUAUUCUGCAUCAGGUAAAAAUUCAUUUACUAUUCAGAUUGACACUUUCCAGGUUCCUUUGCCGCCAUACACUGCAGCCUGAAUUUGAAACGUCAUACAAUGCCAGGCAUUAAAAAAGGGAUCUAAAACUGUUUUGGGUCAUUUUGAAAUUGCCACCUUAAUAUUCAGAAUGUAAUAGCUCUCCACACUUGUAGGCAAUAAAGAAGUUGCUGAGACUCUCAUGAAAUGCCAUUUCUUUUGGUUUUUUUGCUUGCUGCUGUGAUUUUAUCAUCUUGAUAUCAAUGUCUUGACUUUGACAAUCUUUGAACAACUGUUUAGGCUAAACCAUUCUUUUCUUUACUACCGUAAGAAAUGACCAUGAUUACUGCAGAUUCAGGAUUUUCAAAGGAACUGGCAAUCCACACAACAGCCUUCUAUCUCAUCACGUUCUCAGGAUUUCAUGGAUAGAGGCAUCUAUAUGUUGGUAACUUCGUGAUGCAUUUGUGUUCCAAUACACCUUCUCAGAGUUAUCUGCAUUUUUUUUAUAUCCUACAUUCUCCUCCUACACUUGGUUAAAAAAAAAAUAAAAAUAAACUGCCAGUGGCGACAGGGGAAGAGAGACAGACAAACAAAUGUGCAAAGGUAUACAUACAUGGACAUCAAAAGUUGCCUCUUUCAUGGUAGUGCAGCACUCAUGAAUAUCAUUCUCUUUCCACAUACUUAUUCCCCUCCACCACCCUCUUCCCCCCCUUACCAUUUACUGCGUAAUGCUCUGUUUUCCAUGUCUGUCUCUUGGAUGAACUGAUUAGUAAGACCCUUAAAUAUUUGCACGAGUUUUCACUUAUUUCUGCUUUCUACUUGAAAAAAAGAAAAUGAAGAUCAGGAAAAGAAAAAACUUUAAACAAAUUAUUUUUUCUGUCUUUAAUGCUUUGUUUCAAAUAAUGGUUGAAUGUUUAUAAUAAUAAUAGCUGUGUAACUAUGAUAUCAUUAACCAAAAAUUGAUUGCUACCACUUUUAACUGUAUGUGCUGUACUUUCUGCGGGCUUAA
This 1256-nucleotide unclassified non-coding RNA is filed under the name Hevea brasiliensis (rubber tree). The record is from RNAcentral. Lineage: Eukaryota; Viridiplantae; Streptophyta; Magnoliopsida; Malpighiales; Euphorbiaceae.